GGGCCGUUAGCUCAGUUGGUAGAGCAGUUGACUUUUAAUCAAUUGGUCGCAGGUUCGAAUCCCGCACGGCCCACCA
RNAcentral lists this transfer RNA (76 nucleotides) under Providencia sp. RNAcentral describes it as "tRNA-Lys". It matches the Rfam family "tRNA". Rfam says of the family: Transfer RNA (tRNA) molecules are approximately 80 nucleotides in length. Their secondary structure includes four short double-helical elements and three loops (D, anti-codon, and T loops). Lineage: Bacteria; Pseudomonadati; Pseudomonadota; Gammaproteobacteria; Enterobacterales; Morganellaceae. The record is from RNAcentral. RNAcentral also lists the same sequence under 54 other names.